AUGAAAGAUGCAAGGGCAUUUUAUUCAUAUAACUCAUUAGUGUUCUCGAGCCACUCACUGCAUGGCCACUGUGUCCCCACCUGCAGGGACGCCUGUUCUCCGUCAGAUUCCCACGCGCACUGGCCAAGGCCUGCUCGGCCCCACAAGCCUGUCCAGCUCACACCGACACUCAUCAUCCAGCAGAAGAUUAUCACUAGGAUGACAAUCACUUCAGUUACAGGCACCGUGGAAGGACGUUUGAUUCCCUGGAAGGCUCUGCUGGACAGUGAGCAUGCAAAUCAGGGAGUCAGAAAGCAGGCACAGCCGCAAGGAGCACAGGACACCGCCGCCCACAGUCUUGGGGAAACGUCUGGAACACACCCCGUCCACAGUCUUGCCCAAGUACCAUUUGUACUAACUGCAGUUCAGCGGUCUCGCCCCAGCACUUCCUGUACCCUUUACCUCAUAAGGACACAGCACCCCAUCUCAUCUCUCACAGUCACGAUGGGGACUGCAGUAUUUCACAGUUGUUCUUUAGCAGGUAAAGAAACUCCUGUGCUUUCCUAGUUUUUACCAUGAAUGAAUAUUGGAUUUUAUUAAAUGUUUUCUGUUCAGCUGUUAAGAUGAUCACGCAGACACUAUCCUUUCAAAUACGAUGUAUUACAUUAAAUUUGGAUAUUGAACAAGCCUUGCAUUCCUGGGAUAAAUCCUUCUGGUCAUGGUGGACGAUUCUUUUUAUAUGGUACCAAUCUGGUUUGUUAAUAUUUCAUUAAGGAAUUUUCUGGCAUUAUUCAUAAAGGAUAUAGGCUUUUUUCAUUCUUAUAAUAAUAAAGACAAAGACAUCAGAGAACUAGUAGUUCCAUAGUUCUGAUGUAAUUCCACCUCUAUUUUUAAAGUUUAUACUAUUACUGUCAUAUACAGCACAUCGACAUAUGCCAUGUACCCAACAAUACAUUAUAAUUAUUGCUUUAUAUAAGGCUGUCUUUUAAAGAAGUCAGAAAAUAUAGAUGGAUGUCUCUUUUUAGCUCACAUAUUUGCCAUUUCUGAGGUCUUUCAUGUCUUCCUGGGGAUUUGAACUGAAUCUGUGCCAUUUUUUCUCAUUCUGAAGGAUUUUGUUCAGUAUGUCUUAUAAGGAAUACUGCUAGCCACCAAUUCGCCCCGUCUUUAUUAGAUACGUUUUUAUUUUACUUUCAUUUAUGAAGACAAGUUUCAGUAAAAAAUUUUUGGUUGAAUAAAAUUUUGUUUUUAAUUUCAGCACUCUCAGUAAGGCAUUCUGUUGUUUCCCGGCCUCCACUAUUGCAGAUAGAAGGCCAGCCCUUGAAUCAAUCAAUAAGCCUGUCAGUCAUUUUCUCCUGUAGCUUUCAGUUUUCACUCUGCCUUUUGCUCUCAUUUUCUUCAAUCGUUUCUCUGUUUAUUCAUAACUUCUACUAAUUAUCUUCAAAUUCAGCUAUUCUUUAUUUGCCAUCUAAAUCUCCUGUUCAGUACCUAUGGUGAAUUUGUCAUUUGUUAUUGUACUUUCAACUCCAGAAUUUUUUAUUGUUUUUAAUUUUUAGCUCUUUAUAGACUGUUUUCAUUACCGUAAUUCUUUAAAUACACAGUAGUUGCAACAGCUCUUUCAACAUGUGUAGUAGCUUCUUUCAAGUCUGUCUGCUAAGCCCAAAAUCUAAGAACUCUGAGAAGUACUUUCUAUUUAUCACUUUCUUUCAAGAAUGUGGGUUACACUUCACUGUCUCUUGCAUGCCUCACAUUUUGCUAAAUAUGAACAGUACAGAAAACACACUGUAUUAACUGUGAAUGCUGACUGCCCCCUUUGCAAGUCAUUAUGUCUCAGUUGCUUAAGGUAAAUCUGAAAUGUCUCCAUCAAGCAUAUGUAGCUGUGAUAUCGAUGCUAAAUUACUUUUUUUUUUUUUUUUUUUUUUGGUACCAGGGAUUGAACUCGGGUCCUUGCGCUUGCAAGGCAGGCCACCGAACCACUGAGCUAAAUCCCCAGCCCCAUAAAUUACUUUUUUUAAAGCUGUUUUAUUGUGGUUGUUGUUUUUAUUUUUCAUUUUUAAGCCUGGACUCUUACGUUUCCAUGGGUUGGCAAUCAGUCACUGACUCACGAGAGGACACAGUCAGACCACUCAAGCCCAGAAGGCUUUGGCCAACAACCUGCACAGCGGGGGAUGCAUAGGAAGUUCAAGCUGGUUCAGUCAGCCUACACUUUGGCCUUCUGUUAGGCCCUACCAUGUCUCCGAGCUGAAAAGGCGGGUGUGGACAUUCCUCUGUCCAGCCCUGGCUGCACACUUCACUUGGGAUAAUGUUGCUGACACACAGAGAAGCUGGCUUUCCCCACUUCCCCAUCGCCAGGACUGUCACUUCCACUAACCAUGCUGGUGGCCACUUCAGAUCAAGUCCAGUCAGCUGCAAGCUUCCUGGGUCCUCACAGACUGCUCUGCCUGGACAGAGCCUCCACACCACAUAGCUGUGCGACAGUGAAGAGAGGAAGCCAGUUGAGAACAGCACAGACUCCCGUUCUUAAUGGAGUCCUGUCUUGCUUCAAGUGUAAAUGCCUCUCAGAUUGAUACAUAACUCUGGACAAUUCUAGACUCCUGAAAUUGUUAUCUGUGUCAGUUUGUCCAAGCAUUUUAGGGAGAUUUGCCGGCUUUCUCAGAACCACAGCCCAUAUUUUAAAUUACUCAUUAUUGUUUUAUUUGGCACUAUUGAACAUUUUAUUUAUACUUUCCCUUGAGUGAACUUUCCAUUCUCCUAUUUGCUUCUACUUACUUUGAUAGUUUUUUCAUCUCUGAAUAUAUCAUGUUAAAUCUUUACCUAUAUACUUAAUAUAUAUUAAACUCACUUAUUUUUCUCACAAUAUUUUUAUAACUUUUCCCCCAAGAGCUUUUUAUUACAAGAAUUAGAAUGUUUUCUGGUACUUUAAACCUGAGAAAGUUCCCCAGUUACUCUACUAAAAUCAAUUACA
This 2941-nucleotide long non-coding RNA is filed under the name Fukomys damarensis (Damara mole-rat). Its description in RNAcentral is "lncRNA (ENSFDAG00000026707.1)". Lineage: Eukaryota; Metazoa; Chordata; Mammalia; Rodentia; Bathyergidae. The record is from RNAcentral.